Molecule: non-coding RNA, 496 nt
Organism: Drosophila melanogaster (fruit fly)
Lineage: Eukaryota; Metazoa; Arthropoda; Insecta; Diptera; Drosophilidae
Source: Ensembl
GUCGUCAGCGCGCUUCUAAUUAAAACUAAAAUAAAAUGAAACCGAUUGCUAUAAUAUAUAACGCAUGCAAAGCUGACCGUAUGGGCUCGUCUCCUUUAAAAACUGAUGCAAUGAUAAAUGUAAUAAAAUGAUACACAUACCGCACCAGAACGGCAAUUUGAAUGGAUCACCAUUUACACGUGGUGCAAUGUGAGAUACCUGGAGACACUUAGAAAUAUUCUGGGGCAUUGAAAACAGCCGGGAGCCUGGGAUACAAUCUAAUCAUGCCUUGAUCUCCCUUAAAGGAAAUAUUUCCAGAUAUUGGGAUUCCUAUUCAAAACUGAAAUUUGACUGAACCAGUGAUAAGGAAAUAUAAACUAAUGAUACUUUCACAAGAUUUACAACUGAUUCGGUUGGAAAAACCUAAAAGGUAGUCUAGCCACGUGCUAAAUCGCAAUCUUUUAACAAAGUUUUUCUUUAUAUAUAAAAUAAAUUCUUUAUUUAUGUGUACAAAAUA